RNAcentral lists this long non-coding RNA (428 nucleotides) under Phoenix dactylifera (date palm). RNAcentral describes it as "long non-coding RNA (PDAC_LNC021495)". The record is from RNAcentral. Lineage: Eukaryota; Viridiplantae; Streptophyta; Magnoliopsida; Arecales; Arecaceae.
GAUUUGACCUUUAGCAUUGUCUCCAAAUGUAACUACUCCUCCUUCUUUCGAUUUCAAGGUGACGAAAAGGCUCUUGUCACCGGUCAUAUGCCUUGAGCAACCACUAUCAAGAUACCACAUUCUCUUUUUACUCCCGGCUGCAAGGCAUACCUGCAAAAUAAUCAUGUGAAGCUCUUAGGUACCCAAGUUUUCUUGGGUCCUUCUUGGUUAGUGUAGUUGGUUCCCUUAGGCACCCACACUUUAGUUGUGUUUUUACCUUUUACAAAUGUAUUCUUAUUAGUUUGAAUCUUCCUUUGAAUGCAAGAAUAGGCUUUAUGUCCAUUCUUCCCACAAUGAAAGCAUGUAGGUUUUUCAGUCUUGAUAUCUUUUGCUUUCACAAAAAAAUUCUUUAGAUAUUUUUGUUGUUUGCUAGUUUUAUAUCCUAAUCC